GACGAACGCUGGCGGCGUGCCUAAUACAUGCAAGUAGAACGCUGAAGAGAGGAGCUUGCUCUUCUUGGAUGAGUUGCGAACGGGUGAGUAACGCGUAGGUAACCUGCCUUGUAGCGGGGGAUAACUAUUGGAAACGAUAGCUAAUACCGCAUAACAAUGGAUGACACAUGUCAUUUAUUUGAAAGGGGCAAUUGCUCCACUACAAGAUGGACCUGCGUUGUAUUAGCUAGUAGGUGAGGUAAUGGCUCACCUAGGCGACGAUACAUAGCCGGCCUGAGAGGGUGAUCGGCCACACUGGGACUGAGACACGGCCCAGACUCCUACGGGAGGCAGCAGUAGGGAAUCUUCGGCAAUGGGGGCAACCCUGACCGAGCAACGCCGCGUGAGUGAAGAAGGUUUUCGGAUCGUAAAGCUCUGUUGUAAGUCAAGAACGGGUGUGAGAGUGGAAAGUUCACACUGUGACGGUAGCUUACCAGAAAGGGACGGCUAACUACGUG
RNAcentral lists this ribosomal RNA (497 nucleotides) under uncultured bacterium. RNAcentral describes it as "partial 16S ribosomal RNA". It matches the Rfam family "Bacterial small subunit ribosomal RNA", at positions 28 to 507 of the family's 1533-position model. The record is from RNAcentral.